This 337-nucleotide unclassified non-coding RNA is filed under the name soil metagenome. Its description in RNAcentral is "partial contains 5.8S ribosomal RNA, internal transcribed spacer 2, and large subunit ribosomal RNA". The stretch from base 1 to 120 matches the Rfam family "5.8S ribosomal RNA", at positions 35 to 154 of the family's 154-position model. The record is from RNAcentral.
GAUGAAGAACGCAGCGAAAUGCGAUAAGUAGUGUGAAUUGCAGAAUUCAGUGAAUCAUCGAAUCUUUGAACGCACAUUGCGCCCCUUGGUAUUCCAUGGGGCAUGCCUGUUCGAGCGUCAUUUGUACCUUCAAGCUCUGCUUGGUGUUGGGUGUUUGUCUCGCCUCUGCGUGUAGACUCGCCUCAAAACAAUUGGCAGCCGGCGUAUUGAUUUCGGAGCGCAGUACAUCUCGCGCUUUGCACUCAUAACGACGACGUCCAAAAGUACAUUUUUAAACUCUUGACCUCGGAUCAGGUAGGGAUACCCGCUGAACUUAAGCAUAUCAAUAAGCGGAGGA